RNAcentral lists this transfer RNA (73 nucleotides) under Rhipicephalus sanguineus (brown dog tick). Its description in RNAcentral is "transfer RNA valine (anticodon AAC)". It matches the Rfam family "tRNA". Rfam says of the family: Transfer RNA (tRNA) molecules are approximately 80 nucleotides in length. Lineage: Eukaryota; Metazoa; Arthropoda; Arachnida; Ixodida; Ixodidae. The record is from Rfam by way of RNAcentral.
GUGCUUGUGGUGUAGUGGUUAUCACAUCCGCCUAACACGCGGAAGGUCCCAGGUUCGAUCACUGGCAGGCACA